UACGUAGGGGGCGAGCGUUAUCCGGAAUUAUUGGGUGUAAAGGGUGCGUAGACGGGAAUACAAGUUAGUUGUGAAAUCCCUCGGCUUAACUGAGGAACUGCAACUAAAACUAUAUUUCUUGAGUGCAGGAGAGGUAAGUGGAAUUCCUAGUGUAGCGGUGAAAUGCGUAGAUAUUAGGAGGAACACCAGUGGCGAAGGCGACUUACUGGACUGUAACUGACGUUGAGGCACGAAAGUGUGGGGAGCAAACAGG
This 253-nucleotide ribosomal RNA is filed under the name uncultured bacterium. Its description in RNAcentral is "partial 16S ribosomal RNA". It matches the Rfam family "Bacterial small subunit ribosomal RNA", at positions 524 to 776 of the family's 1533-position model. The record is from RNAcentral.